Molecule: ribosomal RNA, 604 nt
Filed under: uncultured organism
Description: bacterial SSU rRNA
Rfam family: Bacterial small subunit ribosomal RNA
Source: RNAcentral
AAAACUUCGGUGGUCUAGGACGAGCCCGCGUCCUAUCAGGUUGUUGGUGAGGUAAAUGCUCACCAAGCCUAUGACGGGUAGCUGGUUUGAGAGGACGGACAGCCAGACUGGGACUGUGACACGGCCCAGACUCCUACGGGAGGCAGCAAUUAGGAAUCGUGCGCAAUGGACGGAAGUCUGACGCCGCGACGCCGCGUGGAGGAUGAAUGCCUACGGGUUGUAAACUCCUUUUAUGAGGGAACAAGUUUCUGAGUGUACCUCAUGAAUAAGCACCUGCUAACUACGUGCCAGAAGCAUCGGUAAUACGUAGGGUGCGAGCGUUAUCCGGAAUUAUUGGGCGUAAAGAGACGCGUAGGCGACUCGGUAAGUCUGAUGUUAAAUCUCAAUGCUCAACAUUGAGACUGCAUUAGAUACUGUCGUGAUUGAGUAAAGUAGAGGAGAGGGGAAUUCCUGGUGGAGCGGUGCAAUGCGUUGAUAUCAGGAGGAACACCAAGGGCGAAGGCAUCUCUCUGGACUUUUACUGACGCUGAGGCUCGAAAGUGUGGGUAGCAAAGCGGAUUAGAUACCCGUGUAGUCCACACUGUAAACUAUCCCUAUUAGACGU